This 410-nucleotide ribosomal RNA is filed under the name uncultured microorganism. RNAcentral's name for it is "bacterial SSU rRNA". It matches the Rfam family "Archaeal small subunit ribosomal RNA", at positions 330 to 745 of the family's 1478-position model. The record is from RNAcentral.
GCGCAGGCGAGAAACCUUCGCAAUGCGGGAAGCCGCGACGAGGGGACUCCCAGUGCCUACGCUCAGCGUAGGCUGUUCCCGAGCCUAGAAAGCUCGGGGAGUAAGGGCUGGGUAAGACGGGUGCCAGCCGCCGCGGUAAUACCCGCAGCCCGAGUGGUGGCCACUAUUAUUGGGCCUAAAGCGUCCGUAGCCGGCCCGGUAAAUGCCUGGGUAAAUCGUGAGGCCUAACCUCACGAAUUCCGGGUAGACUGCCGGGCUAGGGACCGGAGGAGGGAGAGGGUACUCCAGGGGUAGGGGUGAAAUCCUGUAAUCCCUGGAGGACCACCGGUGGCGAAGGCGCUCUCCUAGGACGGGUCCGACGGUGAGGGACGAAAGCCAGGGGAGCGAACCGGAUUAGAUACCCCUGUAGU